This 492-nucleotide ribosomal RNA is filed under the name uncultured bacterium. RNAcentral's name for it is "partial 16S ribosomal RNA". It matches the Rfam family "Bacterial small subunit ribosomal RNA", at positions 29 to 507 of the family's 1533-position model. The record is from RNAcentral.
AGUGAACGCUGGCGGUAGGCCUAACACAUGCAAGUCGAACGGCAGCACAGUAAGAGCUUGCUCUUACGGGUGGCGAGUGGCGGACGGGUGAGGAAUACAUCGGAAUCUACUUUUUCGUGGGGGAUAACGUAGGGAAACUUACGCUAAUACCGCAUACGACCUACGGGUUAAAUCAGUGGAUCUUCGGACCUUGCGCGAUUGAAUUAGCCGAUGUCGGAUUAGCUAGUUGGCGGGGUAAAGGCCCACCAAGGCGACGAUCCGUAGCUGGUCUGAGAGGAUGAUCAGCCACACUGGAACUGAGACACGGUCCAGACUCCUACGGGAGGCAGCAGUGGGGAAUAUUGGACAAUGGGCGCAAGCCUGAUCCAGCCAUACCGCGUGGGUGAAGAAGGCCUUCGGGUUGUAAAGCCCUUUUGUUGGGAAAGAAAAGCAGCAGGUUAAUACCCCGCUGUUCUGACGGUACCCAAAGAAUAAGCACCGGCUAACUUCGUG